This is a long non-coding RNA of Oreochromis aureus, 3591 nucleotides long. RefSeq lists it as uncharacterized. The record is from RefSeq and is a predicted model, not a curated record. NCBI's taxonomy places the organism in Eukaryota, Metazoa, Chordata, Actinopteri, Cichliformes, Cichlidae. The transcript is spliced from 2 exons.
UGUUUGCAUCAUCAGAGGAAUAUAUUUAAUUAAUGGCUGUUUUAAUCCUUCCGCCGAAUCGCUGUUGUUGCCCUCUCGCUGCUCUAUUUGAUCCCCGUGCAAACACUCGGCACUUUGAUGUGAGAGGACAGACCUGAAGUGGAUUUCAGCCUUAUUGCAUGGUUUCACUGACAGAUUGAAGCUUAGCGCACGCAGCCAAAACUGUGGUUGCUCAUCGAGUAGAUGGAUUAUUAACUUAAUAUUCGAGUUUAUAUGCGGCUUGUGUCUCUUGGAGCCUGCGCUUCUGAUAUGAAUUAAGGAAUUCCGCUAAGCAGUGCAUUUUGUUUGGCUAAAGCAGCAACGUGCCCUCAGAAACUGCCACGAGGUAUAAACGAUCACUGGCUGAUUCAGAGAGAAGCGUCAUCCACUGACACUAAAGGCCACAAGCAACAGGAAGUGAUUGCACCUUUCAGACACCUGGAAACCAAUGAACAGCCACAACCUAUGGGAGAGAACUCUUCUACAGCCAAUCACAGUCCAUCUGGGAGCGACUGCAAUCACUCAGAUAAUUACAGUAUAUCUAAAUUAUAAAUUCAGAGAGAUUGCCAACACACUGCAAUCAGUUUGAGUCGGUCUGUGCAAUGGCAGCUCAUCUCUUUGCAAUAGGAAACUCGGUUCAACUGGUUGCCAACUGGUUGUUUUCUGUUUUACUCCCAUAGGAAAGCAAGGUUACCAAGACUGCUGUUUAAGCUCAUUCGUGCAUCAACUACGCUGUUAUUUGUGGAGGAAUUUCUGAAUUUCUGUUGCAAGUCUGCAAGUUUCUGGUUGGACACUGAAGUAGUUAAUGUGAAUUUCUGCUUAAUGGGAUUAUCUAUGUAUGUAGACAUCAGAUUUUCAAUUCUGAAUGAUGUAUUAAGAGUAAAACUGCUGUAUUAUCACAAACAGAUUGCAUGCUAUUAUCAACUUGACCCCAUUCAAACACAAACUGAUCGCAGACUCCAUCUUUUAUCAUCUUCCUGAUGCAUCCAAGUUACUUUGAGGAGGACAACUGAGUGAUCACAGACCUGGUCCCUGUCUUUGAAGCAAUCAUUUCAAAUGCAACGAGACUACAAGUCCAUUGUUUCCCUAGUGCUUAAUAUCCAAUCUGCCCACAUUGGAUCUUUGGGUUCUCGAGUUGUUCCAAUUUCAGGGAUGAAAAAAUGACUAUGUUUUGUAAAAUCCACUCUUUGUCCUUUGUGACAUACAAAGUUAUAGAAUUAGUGACACAGAGCUACAAUCAUUAUUCUCAAACGGGCGAGUUGCUGUUCUGAAAGGGUGUAUUUUAACUCACCCUAUGAUCUUUUACUAGAGUGAACCAGUGCGUGAUCUCCUGGUUUAUAAAACUGCCAGUUUUGCCACAGGUCUCUAGAGCGCGACCUUUAUCUGAAAUAUUCAAGACACCAAAGACAAAAGAUGGUUUGAGCCAGUGGCAUUACCCAGAGGAUAUGGUUCUAAUUGUAAAGUUACUCUGGGACAAAUUAAGUUAAAGAUGUGAAAAGUGCAUGAAAACAGCGCUGUAGGUCAGAACAAAUAAAAACAUAAGAGGUACGGAUCGGAGUAGAAGCACUUUACAGGAAGUGAAAGUUUGAAGGAAAAGUUUCCAGCUUUUUGCUGCAUCUUUUUUUAAAUAUAUAUUUUUUUGUUUUUUCACGUCCUUUGAUCAAUAAGCAGAAGACAGAGAAGUAAAGCUUUCUCAUCCCUCUGUACUCGUUCCUGUGCUCCGUCUGCCUGUGGCUGAAGGAGAGAUGAAUCAGUGAACAGAGGGAGGUUCCACCGCUCGCUCUCGCUCUCUGAAGCCAACAGCAUUGCUGUGAUCACUGUUAAUCUCCUUUGCCACUCUGCUGCCAUCUCCUCAAAUACAUUCAUCUCAUUUCCAAUAGCGUUCGCAGCCUCUUCUUCCUUUCUAAUUAGGCACCGUCAAGAUUUCAGAAGUCACCCUUUGGUGUUCUGCAGUAAGCGAGAUGGCUCUUUGAGCGAGGGGGUCAGCCAUGGCAAGUAUUUGUUUGAGGGUUAAAUCACAGCAGGCCUUUCAUCAUGUUGUUAUGUUGCACGAUCAGAGGCUUGGGAUUAUGUAGGUCAGACGUUGGAGAGUGAGAGCACCCCUUUUGUAGCUGCCAUUUUUAUUCAGUUGCUAGGCAGCACCCGCUCUAAUCUCUUGUACCAAAGAGUCUCUCCCCAGAGAAAAAGAGAGGGAGCAGGAGUUACAAAGGACGGGAAAAAAUGUGAAAAAAGCAUCAACAAAGAACACAAACCCAUGCAAGGACUGCUUUUAGAAACACUCUAAAGGGAGGGAGUGGAAAUGGACAGGAUGUGGGAGUCUAAGCUCGGCCCUGAAACCUGCUAUGGCCCUCCUGAACAUCUUUAAACCCCUGUGGACUGUUUGUGCCAUUGACUCGCUAACUAAAGGAUCAACAACAGCGGGCUACAUUCAGCAUUUGAAUCCGUGGCACUCUUGCUUAACGCCGGGAAGCGAAAACUUAACAGCCUUCAGUUCUCAAGUCUAGCUUUUCAAAACAAGUGGAACAGCUCCAGUGGGUCAGUCAAAGCAGGACAGUUGAUGAAAGUCACAAUGUUGACACAGAUUUUCUGUCAGCGAGUGCCAAAAUGGAUCAGAACCGCUCAGAUGUGGAGCUCGGUCGUCUGGCAAAGUGUGUCUGCUGUCGCGCUGCUGCUGCUGCUGCUGCUGCUGCACCCCCAUCCUAAAUGUGCUCAUGUCACGCUCCGCCAUCAAAGGCUCACCCCUCGGCUCUGUGUUCUGAGAAAAGGAGGCACACCACCCCCCACCCCCACCCACUGAUCCUCCCCUCCCACCCCAGCCCCGGGCUCAGUAAGGAUCUGCUAUUCUCCGUUGCAUUUCACACGCUUUGAUUUGGAGUUUUGAAGUUUGUUCUUGUCUGCCUUUUUUCCUCUCUAUUUUUUUUUUUUGACUUAGUUCUGUUUCAUAUUGACUGUUUUGAUUCAUGAAGUUUUCAGAUGAUGAAUGCUCUGAAAAACUGGCACUGCAGCACUGAUGGCUCUAAUGCUGUCUGUAAUCACAUACGCCUGCUCUCAGUCAGUGAGCCUUUGCAAUGACAAAGAAGGCCAAUAAACUGUAUGCAAGACAAUGAGUUAGUCUGAUCUCAAACAUUUACAUCCUUGCAGGGAGUGAGAUGAGAGGACUGAUAGGCUACCUCUACAGAUUUAGCAUAAAGUCUGAAAAGUUACUUAUUUGCAAAGUUGCAAGUCUGCUGUUUUUGUUGAAUAUUUUCUACAUUUUCAUUCUACAGUGUAUUGACUCUCUUGGCAGAACUGAGAUGAGCACUAGUACCAUCGUCAUAUCUGUAUUCAAACAAUAAGCUGUUAGCUAGUAGCUUAGCAAAAGUCCUUGAGGCGCCCCUCAUUUCUCUAGAUUUUGCCAGGAAAAUGGGAAAUGGGUCCAGAGAUUUAUUCAAAUGUGCAAAUACACAAAGAAAUACAAUAUGUAUAAAUAUGUUCAUCAUAAUCUUAACUAAGUGCAAGUUCUUGUAAUUUCUUUAAAUAUUACAAGAAUGCAUUGUCAUGCUUAAAAAUAAAGCUGCUACCAAUCAGACACUU